AUUGAACGCUAGCGGGAUGCCUUACACAUGCAAGUCGAACGGAGUGGCGAACGGGUGAGUAAUGUAUCGGAACGUGCCCAGUAGUGGGGGAUAACUACGCGAAAGCGUAGCCUAUACCGCAUACUAUUGGAGCGGCCGAUGUGGGAUUAGCUAGUUGGUGGGGCAACGGCUCACCAAGGCGACGAUCCGUAGCUGGUCUGAGAGGACGACCGGCCACAAUGGGACUGAUACACGGCCCAGACUCCUACGGGAGGCAGCAGUAGGGAAUUUUGGGCAAUGGGGGAAAGCCUGAUCGAGCCAUGCCGCGUGAGCGAUGAAGGUCUUCGGGUUGUAAAGCACUUUUGGCAGGGAAGCGGUACCUACAGAGUAAGCACCGGCUAACUACGUGCCAGCAGCCGCGGUAAUAC
RNAcentral lists this ribosomal RNA (407 nucleotides) under uncultured bacterium. Its description in RNAcentral is "partial 16S ribosomal RNA". It matches the Rfam family "Bacterial small subunit ribosomal RNA", at positions 30 to 526 of the family's 1533-position model. The record is from RNAcentral.